UUCCAAAAACAUCGCCUUCUGACACUCAUAGAAGGUCCAGCCUGCCCAGUGACUAAGUUAAACGGCCGCGGUACCCUAACCGUGCAAAGGUAGCGCAAUCACUUGUUCUUUAAAUGAGGACUAGUAUGAACGGCAUCACGAGGGUUACACUGUCUCCCUAUUCCAUUCAGUGAAACUGAUCUUCCCGUGAAGAAGCGGGAAUAUAAAUAUAAGACGAGAAGACCCCAUGGAGCUUUAAACUCAGUGUCAUCUGCCACUUCAAUAUCCUCUUAAUUACGCAGACCAUGAUAACUAGUUUUCGGUUGGGGUGACCGCGGAGUAAAACAAAACCUCCACAACGAAAGGAACUAACAACCUAAUCCAAGAGCAACAUCUCUAAGAAUCAACAAAUUGACUUAAUUGAUCCAAUUACUUGAUCAACGAACCAAGUUACCCUGGGGAUAACAGCGCAAUCCAUUUCAAGAGCUCAUAUCGACAAAUGGGUUUACGACCUCGAUGUUGGAUCAGGGUAUCCCAGUGGCGCAGCAGCUACUAACGG
RNAcentral lists this ribosomal RNA (538 nucleotides) under Microhyla nilphamariensis. RNAcentral's name for it is "partial 16S ribosomal RNA". It matches the Rfam family "Bacterial large subunit ribosomal RNA", at positions 1805 to 2571 of the family's 2925-position model. The record is from RNAcentral. Lineage: Eukaryota; Metazoa; Chordata; Amphibia; Anura; Microhylidae.